This 541-nucleotide ribosomal RNA is filed under the name Debaryomyces hansenii. RNAcentral's name for it is "partial 26S ribosomal RNA". It matches the Rfam family "Eukaryotic large subunit ribosomal RNA", at positions 62 to 608 of the family's 3401-position model. Lineage: Eukaryota; Fungi; Ascomycota; Pichiomycetes; Serinales; Debaryomycetaceae. The record is from RNAcentral.
AAACCAACAGGGAUUGCCUUAGUAACGGCGAGUGAAGCGGCAAAAGCUCAAAUUUGAAAUCUGGCACCUUCGGUGUCCGAGUUGUAAUUUGAAGAAGGUAACUUUGGAGUUGGCUCUUGUCUAUGUUCCUUGGAACAGGACGUCACAGAGGGUGAGAAUCCCGUGCGAUGAGAUGCCCAAUUCUAUGUAAAGUGCUUUCGAAGAGUCGAGUUGUUUGGGAAUGCAGCUCUAAGUGGGUGGUAAAUUCCAUCUAAAGCUAAAUAUUGGCGAGAGACCGAUAGCGAACAAGUACAGUGAUGGAAAGAUGAAAAGAACUUUGAAAAGAGAGUGAAAAAGUACGUGAAAUUGUUGAAAGGGAAGGGCUUGAGAUCAGACUUGGUAUUUUGCGAUCCUUUCCUUCUUGGUUGGGUUCCUCGCAGCUUACUGGGCCAGCAUCGGUUUGGAUGGUAGGAUAAUGACUAAGGAAUGUGGCUCUACUUCGGUGGAGUGUUAUAGCCUUGGUUGAUACUGCCUGUCUAGACCGAGGACUGCGUCUUGACUA